AACGCACCUUGCACCCCUUGGUAUUCCGAGGGGUACGCCUGUUUGAGUGUCGUGAAAUUCUCAACCCCGCCCCCUUUUGCGAGGGGCGUCGGUGGCUUGGACUUGGAGGCUUUUGCCGGGAAAGGGUUUCGACCCACUUCUCGGCUCCUCUCGAAGGUAUUAGUAGGACCCUUUGCGGCCUCGGUGUGAUAAUUGUCUACGCCGUGGGUUUAGCAUGUCAUGGGACCCGCUUCCAACCGUCUCGCAAGGGACACUUUCAAUCGAAACUUGACCUCAGAUCAGGCGGGACUACCCGCUGAACUUAA
Molecule: ribosomal RNA, 305 nt
Filed under: uncultured fungus
Lineage: Eukaryota; Fungi
Description: eukaryotic LSU rRNA
Rfam family: 5.8S ribosomal RNA (bases 1-52)
Source: RNAcentral